RNAcentral lists this ribosomal RNA (242 nucleotides) under uncultured bacterium. RNAcentral's name for it is "partial 16S ribosomal RNA". It matches the Rfam family "Bacterial small subunit ribosomal RNA", at positions 118 to 348 of the family's 1533-position model. The record is from RNAcentral.
UGGGUAACCUGCCUCAAAGAGGGGAAUAGCCUCCCGAAAGGGANAUUAUCGCAUAAUAUGUUUAAGUCGCAUGAACUUUAACAUCAAAGGAUUUUCUUUUAGUAAAUUCCACUUUGAGAUGGACCCGCGGCGCAUUAGCUAGUUGGUGAGGUAACGGCUCACCAAGGCAACGAUGCGUAGCCGACCUGAGAGGGUGAUCGGCCACAUUGGAACUGAGACACGGUCCAGACUCCGUAGGGAGG